Molecule: ribosomal RNA, 254 nt
Filed under: uncultured bacterium
Lineage: Bacteria
Description: partial 16S ribosomal RNA
Rfam family: Bacterial small subunit ribosomal RNA
Source: RNAcentral
UACAGGGGGGUGCAAACGUUGCUCGGAAUCAUUGGGCGUAAAGCGCACGUAGGCGGUUCGUUAUGUCGGAUGUGAAAGCCCUUGGCUUAACCGAGGAAGUGCAUCCGAAACUGGCGAGCUAGAGUACGAAAGAGGAUCGCGGAAUUCCCGGUGUAGAGGUGAAAUUCGUAGAUAUCGGGAGGAACACCGGUGGCGAAGGCGGCGAUCUGGGUCGAUACUGACGCUGAGGUGUGAAAGCGUGGGGAGCAAACAGG